Molecule: ribosomal RNA, 357 nt
Filed under: uncultured bacterium
Lineage: Bacteria
Description: bacterial SSU rRNA
Rfam family: Bacterial small subunit ribosomal RNA
Source: RNAcentral
GGAGGGUGCAAGCGUUAUCCGGAUUCACUGGGUUUAAAGGGUGCGUAGGUGGGCAGGUAAGUCAGUGGUGAAAUCUUUGGGCUUAACCCGAAAACUGCCAUUGAUACUAUUUGUCUUGAAUAUUGUGGAGGUCAGCGGAAUAUGUCAUGUAGCGGUGAAAUGCUUAGAUAUGACAUAGAACACCAAUUGCGAAGGCAGCUGGCUACACAUAUAUUGACACUGAUGCACGAAAGCGUGGGGAUCAAACAGGAUUAGAUACCCUGGUAGUCCACGCCCUAAACGAUGGAUACUCGACAUACGCGAUAUACUGUGUGUGUYUGAGSGAAAGCAUUAAGUAUCCCACCUGGGAAGUACGAU